Molecule: long non-coding RNA, 284 nt
Filed under: Hordeum vulgare
Lineage: Eukaryota; Viridiplantae; Streptophyta; Magnoliopsida; Poales; Poaceae
Description: long non-coding RNA (HVUL_LNC007285)
Source: RNAcentral
UUUUUUUCCUUCCUUGUGUUUCUUUUAUUUGGGAGAGGCUGCUGGGGCCUUUCUUAUAGUGGCCGCCAGUGGGCUUCCGUCCACUUGCUGGCCCAUGUAUCUCCCUCCAGCGAGAGCCCAGUCGAGCGACCUCCUCCAUCCUGACGGCGCUACCUCUCUUCCCCCGCGCGCCUCCUUUCCGUCAGACGAGAGUGAGAGAGAGGUAUUGACGCCGUGAGCAGCAACGUCGAGGACCCUAUAAAACGCGUUGGCGUCCGUGCCAGUAGUCUAGGGUUCCCUUCCCC